AGCACAAACCCAUUUAAACCUGGGUUUGAUAUGCUCCUUGAGGACAAGAAGCUCGAAGUUGUAUACCUUGAGUUCCAAGUUAUUUGUGUGAGCUUGAGAUAUGCAUUAUUGAGCUUAGCAGUCUCGAGGACCAUAUCAGACCCAGGUUUAGAUGGGUCCGCACUGCU
Molecule: microRNA precursor, 167 nt
Filed under: Picea abies (Norway spruce)
Lineage: Eukaryota; Viridiplantae; Streptophyta; Pinopsida; Pinales; Pinaceae
Description: miR11525a stem-loop (pab-MIR11525a, pab-MIR11525b)
Source: miRBase by way of RNAcentral